AGAGUUUGAUCAUGGCUCAGGACGAACGCUGGCGGCGUGCUUAACACAUGCAAGUCGAGCGGAAAGGCUCCUUCGGGGGUACUCGAGCGGCGAACGGGUGAGUAACACGUGAGUAAUCUGCCCUUCACUUCGGGAUAACUGCCUGAAAGGGUGGCUAAUACCGGGUAUUCUCCUUGCACCGCAUGGUGUGGGGUGGGAAGUUUUUUCGGUGGGGGAUGUGCUCGCGGCCUAUCAGCUUGUUGGUGGGGUAAUGGCCUACCAAGGCUUUGACGGGUAGCCGGCCUGAGAGGGUGACCGGCCACACUGGGACUGAGACACGGCCCAGACUCCUACGGGAGGCAGCAGUGGGGAAUAUUGGACAAUGGGCGGAAGCCUGAUCCAGCAACGCCGCGUGAGGGAUGACGGCCUUCGGGUUGUAAACCUCUUUCAGCACAGACGAAGCGCCUGUGAAGGUGGUGACGGUAUGUGCAGAAGAAGCACCGGCCAACUACGUGCCAGCAGCCGCGGUAAUACGUAGGGUGCGAGCGUUGUCCGGAAUUAUUGGGCGUAAAGGGCUCGUAGGCGGUUUGUCGCGUCGGGAGUGAAAUCCACUGGCUUAACUGGUGGCUUGCUUUCGAUACGGGCAGACUGGAGGUAUGCAGGGGAGAACGGAAUUCCUGGUGUAGCGGUGAAAUGCGCAGAUAUCAGGAGGAACACCGGUGGCGAAGGCGGUUCUCUGGGCAUGUCCUGACGCUGAGGAGCGAAAGUGUGGGGAGCGAACAGGAUUAGAUACCCUAGUAGUCC
Molecule: ribosomal RNA, 783 nt
Filed under: uncultured bacterium
Lineage: Bacteria
Description: bacterial SSU rRNA
Rfam family: Bacterial small subunit ribosomal RNA
Source: RNAcentral